GAUGAAGAACGCAGCGAAAUGCGAUAAGUAAUGUGAAUUGCAGAAUUCAGUGAAUCAUCGAAUCUUUGAACGCACAUUGUGCCCGCCAGCAUUCUGGCGGGCAUGCCUGUUCGAGCGUCAUUUCAACCCUCAAGCUCUGCUUGGUGUUGGGGCCCUACGUCUGACGUAGGCCCUCAAAGACAGUGGCGGACCCUCUCGGAGCCUCCUUUGCGUAGUAACUAACGUCUCGCACUGGGAUUCGGAGGGACUCUUGCCGUAAAACCCCCAAUUUUUACAGGUUGACCUCGGAUCAGGUAGGAAUACCCGCUGAACUUAAGCAUAUCAAUAAGCGGAGGA
This 336-nucleotide unclassified non-coding RNA is filed under the name soil metagenome. RNAcentral describes it as "partial contains 5.8S ribosomal RNA, internal transcribed spacer 2, and large subunit ribosomal RNA". The stretch from base 1 to 120 matches the Rfam family "5.8S ribosomal RNA", at positions 35 to 154 of the family's 154-position model. The record is from RNAcentral.